AGGAUUAGAAGAGAAAGGAAGAAGAGAAAAACGAGAAUUGGACAAUUCUCGUUGGUUCAAGAACUACCGUGCUCACUAUUUUGUUGAGCUUUAUAACAAACUCGUCCAGCUGGCAAUAUUUCAUCCCUCGAAGCUCAUUACCUGCAAAUCCAUUGCGGUCGUUGGUUAAGUGUGAAUCAUUUCAUUAUUUAUACACUCGAGCUCUCUUGGCUAUAUUUUUCUUUAUUUGCAUUCUCAGGUCAUGACAAAUUUUUGCCAGAAGAAGUGACCAGG
RNAcentral lists this long non-coding RNA (273 nucleotides) under Nicotiana benthamiana. RNAcentral's name for it is "long non-coding RNA (NBEN_LNC023870)". The record is from RNAcentral. Lineage: Eukaryota; Viridiplantae; Streptophyta; Magnoliopsida; Solanales; Solanaceae.